RNAcentral lists this ribosomal RNA (444 nucleotides) under uncultured Pseudomonas sp. RNAcentral's name for it is "bacterial SSU rRNA". It matches the Rfam family "Bacterial small subunit ribosomal RNA", at positions 938 to 1382 of the family's 1533-position model. The record is from RNAcentral. Lineage: Bacteria; Pseudomonadati; Pseudomonadota; Gammaproteobacteria; Pseudomonadales; Pseudomonadaceae.
CAUGUGGUUAAUUUCGAAGCAACGCGAAGAACUUACCAGGCCUUGACAUGCAGAGAACUUUCCAGAGAUGGAUUGGUGCCUUCGGGAACUCUGACACAGGUGCUGCAUGGCUGUCGUCAGCUCGUGUCGUGAGAUGUUGGGUUAAGUCCCGUAACGAGCGCAACCCUUGUCCUUAGUUACCAGCACGUUAUGGUGGGCACUCUAAGGAGACUGCCGGUGACAAACCGGAGGAAGGUGGGGAUGACGUCAAGUCAUCAUGGUCCUUACGGCCUGGGCUACACACGUGCUACAAUGGUCGGUACAAAGGGUUGCCAAGCCGCGAGGUGGAGCUAAUCCCAUAAAACCGAUCGUAGUCCGGAUCGCAGUCUGCAACUCGACUGCGUGAAGUCGGAAUCGCUAGUAAUCGUGAAUCAGAAUGUCACGGUGAAUACGUUCCCGGGCCUU